Molecule: long non-coding RNA, 399 nt
Filed under: Gopherus agassizii (Agassiz's desert tortoise)
Lineage: Eukaryota; Metazoa; Chordata; Testudines; Testudinidae
Description: lncRNA (ENSGAGG00000024752.1)
Source: RNAcentral
UUUUUUUUUUUUUUUUUUUUUUUUUCCCCUCCCUCCAGGGUUUUCUCUGGGAAAAGUUUUCUGGGCUUCAGUCCAGGCAGUGUCACAACUCACAGCUGUACUGUUUGAUCCAAGUACUUCAAGCUGCCACUGAGCUUCCCUGGGACAGUAAUGGGUAGACUGCUCUGCUGCCUGUCACGGAACUUAGUCCAUGAAAGUUCUGUCUUUGAAAAGCUACAUAAGAUACCUGCAGGUUGUUCCACAGGAGGGUUGUACUGCUCCAAAGUGAUCCUGUGGAGCUGUGGAGGAUUUUACCUCAGAUGCCUCUGCUUCAGUUUCCCGAUCUGUGAAAUGAGGAUAGGAAUACUGACCUACCUGACAAGGUAAAAUAAUAAAUGUUGUUAACUUCUAUUGCGAUCA